GGAGAAAUGAAAACAGGUCAUGCGUGAUGAGCGGAGCGCAGAGAACGGGACACGAGAAGGCACUCAGAUUGGGAGCGUUUCUGCAGGCACGCGUGCGCUGUGUGAGAUCGACUUGGAGGAAUCAUUUUCCAGACUCGGGAAGGAACUCACGGCCGGCAUCAAUCUGAUCCUGAUGUGUGGAUGUUAAAAUGACCCUCCCAGGAGGUCUCUUCUGUUGUGUUUCUCUCUCUAAACUACAAAAGAAAAGUACACUUUAUCAAUAGCAUAUCUAGUCCUUUUUUGUUGUCUAUUGAAUAAUGAAAAAUGUCUUUUUCUCCUUCUCCUUUGUUCUGCUUGUCGAGAUAUUCUGCCUGUAUUGUUCCGUGACAAUGUGAUUUAUAAUGGAAAUGACUAGAUAAUUAUGCUACUUGUCAAAGGUAUGUCUCUGUCCCAGCGAGCUGCAGCUUGCUUCUGUUGGAUUUGCGAAAAGUUUGGAAAUAAUUGUACCCAAUUGCUUUGUGCUAUUAAAUUGACAAUGUAAUCAA
Long non-coding RNA from Spea bombifrons (plains spadefoot toad), 524 nucleotides. RefSeq lists it as uncharacterized. The record is from RefSeq and is a predicted model, not a curated record. The transcript has 2 exons. Lineage: Eukaryota; Metazoa; Chordata; Amphibia; Anura; Pelobatidae.